Molecule: ribosomal RNA, 465 nt
Filed under: uncultured bacterium
Lineage: Bacteria
Description: partial 16S ribosomal RNA
Rfam family: Bacterial small subunit ribosomal RNA
Source: RNAcentral
CUACGGGUGGUUCCAGUGGGGAAUAUUGGACAAUGGGGGAAACCCUGAUCCAGCAAUGCCGCGUGUGUGAAGAAGGCCUGCGGGUUGUAAAGCACUUUCGGUUGGGAGGACUGCUUCUAGCACUAAUAUUGUUGGAAGUUGACGUUACCUUCAGAAGAAGCACCGGCUAGCUCCGUGCCAGCAGCCGCGGUAAUACGGGGGGUGCAAGCGUUAAUCGGAAUUACUGGGCGUAAAGCGCGCGUAGGCGGCUAGAUCAGUCGGGUGUGAAAGCCCCGGGCUUAACCUGGGAACUGCAUCCGAUACUGUCUAGCUUGAGUACAGGAGAGGAGAGUGGAAUUCCACAUGUAGCGGUGAAAUGCGUAGAUAUGUGGAGGAACACCAAUGGCGAAGGCAGCUCUCUGGCCUGAUACUGACGCUGAGGUGCGAAAGCGUGGGGAGCAAACAGGAUUAGAUACCCUAGUAGUC